Molecule: ribosomal RNA, 500 nt
Filed under: uncultured Neisseria sp.
Lineage: Bacteria; Pseudomonadati; Pseudomonadota; Betaproteobacteria; Neisseriales; Neisseriaceae
Description: partial 16S ribosomal RNA
Source: RNAcentral
CACGUAGUUAGCCGGUGCUUAUUCUUCAGGUACCGUCAUCAACUGUCGGUAUUAGCAACAGCCUUUUCUUCCCUGACAAAAGUCCUUUACAACCCGAAGGCCUUCUUCAGACACGCGGCAUGGCUGGAUCAGGCUUGCGCCCAUUGUCCAAAAUUCCCCACUGCUGCCUCCCGUAGGAGUCUGGGCCGUGUCUCAGUCCCAGUGUGGCGGAUCAUCCUCUCAGACCCCGCUACUGAUCGUCGCCUUGGUAGGCCUUUACCCCACCAACUAGCUAAUCAGAUAUCGGCCGCUCGAAUAACGCAAGGCCCGAAGGUCCCCUGCUUUCCUCCUCAGAGAAUAUGCGGUAUUAGCUAAUCUUUCGAUUAGUUAUCCCCCAUUACUCGGUACGUUCCGAUAUGUUACUCACCCGUUCGCCACUCGCCACCCAAGAAGCAAGCUUCUCUGUGCUGCCGUCCGACUUGCAUGUGUAAAGCAUGCCGCCAGCGUUCAAUCUGAGCCAA